This 1990-nucleotide ribosomal RNA is filed under the name Enterococcus faecium. RNAcentral describes it as "bacterial LSU rRNA". It matches the Rfam family "Bacterial large subunit ribosomal RNA", at positions 1 to 2003 of the family's 2925-position model. The record is from RNAcentral. Lineage: Bacteria; Bacillati; Bacillota; Bacilli; Lactobacillales; Enterococcaceae.
UUAAGUGAAUAAGGGCGCACGGUGGAUGCCUUGGCACUAGGAGCCGAUGAAGGACGGGACUAACACCGAUAUGCUUUGGGGAGCUGUACGUAAGCUAUGAUCCAGAGAUUUCCGAAUGGGGGAACCCAACAUCUUUAAUAGGAUGUUACGAUUGUGUGAAUACAUAGCACAUUCGAGGUAGACGCAGAGAACUGAAACAUCUAAGUACCUGCAGGAAGAGAAAGAAAAUUCGAUUCCCUGAGUAGCGGCGAGCGAAACGGGAAAAGCCCAAACCAGCAAGCUUGCUUGUUGGGGUUGUAGGACUCCAAUAUGGUAGUUCUUUCAGAUAGUCGAAUGACUUGGAAAAGUCAGUCAAAGAGGGUAAAAACCCCGUAGACGAAAUGUGGAAGACACCUAGGAGGAUCCUGAGUACGGCGGAACACGAGAAAUUCCGUCGGAAUCCGGGAGGACCAUCUCCCAAGGCUAAAUACUCCCUAGUGACCGAUAGUGAACCAGUACCGUGAGGGAAAGGUGAAAAGCACCCCGGAAGGGGAGUGAAAUAGAACCUGAAACCGUGUGCCUACAACAAGUCAAAGCCCGUUAAUGGGUGAUGGCGUGCCUUUUGUAGAAUGAACCGGCGAGUUACGAUUGCAUGCGAGGUUAAGUUGAAGAGACGGAGCCGCAGCGAAAGCGAGUCUGAAUAGGGCGUUUGAGUAUGUAGUCGUAGACCCGAAACCAUGUGAUCUACCCAUGUCCAGGUUGAAGGUGCGGUAAAACGCACUGGAGGACCGAACCCACGUACGUUGAAAAGUGCGGGGAUGAGGUGUGGGUAGCGGAGAAAUUCCAAACGAACUUGGAGAUAGCUGGUUCUCUCCGAAAUAGCUUUAGGGCUAGCCUCGGAAUUGAGAAUGAUGGAGGUAGAGCACUGUUUGGACUAGGGGCCCAUCUCGGGUUACCGAAUUCAGAUAAACUCCGAAUGCCAUUCAUUCAUAUCCGGGAGUCAGACUGUGAGUGAUAAGAUCCAUAGUCGAAAGGGAAACAGCCCAGACCACCAGCUAAGGUCCCAAAAUAUAUGUUAAGUGGAAAAGGAUGUGGGGUUGCACAGACAACUAGGAUGUUGGCUUAGAAGCAGCCACCAUUUAAAGAGUGCGUAAUAGCUCACUAGUCGAGUGACCCUGCGCCGAAAAUGUACCGGGGCUAAACAUAUUACCGAAGCUGUGGAGUACACCUUUAGGUGUAUUGGUAGGAGAGCGUUCUAAGGGCGUUGAAGGCAGAUCGUGAGGACUGCUGGAGCGCUUAGAAGUGAGAAUGCCGGUAUGAGUAGCGAAAGACAGGUGAGAAUCCUGUCCACCGAAUGACUAAGGUUUCCUGGGGAAGGCUCGUCCGCCCAGGGUUAGUCGGGACCUAAGCCGAGGCCGACAGGCGUAGGCGAUGGAUAACAGGUUGAUAUUCCUGUACCCGUUGUUUUUGUUUGAGCAAUGGAGGGACGCAGGAGGCUAAGGAAUGCAGACGAUCGGAAAUGUCUGUCCAAGCAGUAAGUCUGAAGAGGAGUCAAAUGCUUCUUUUCUUAAGGACAAGCUGUGAUGGGGAGGGAAAUAAUAGUACCGAAGUUCCUGAUGUCACACUGCCGAGAAAAGCUUCUAGUGAGAAAACAGCGGCCCGUACCGCAAACCGACACAGGUAGUCGAGGAGAGAAUCCUAAGGUGAGCGAGAGAACUCUCGUUAAGGAACUCGGCAAAAUGACCCCGUAACUUCGGGAGAAGGGGUGCUGAUCAUACGAUCAGCCGCAGUGAAUAGGCCCAAGCGACUGUUUAUCAAAAACACAGGUCUCUGCAAAAUCGUAAGAUGAAGUAUAGGGGCUGACGCCUGCCCGGUGCUGGAAGGUUAAGAGGAGUGCUUAGCGCAAGCGAAGGUACGAAUUGAAGCCCCAGUAAACGGCGGCCGUAACUAUAACGGUCCUAAGGUAGCGAAAUUCCUUGUCGGGUAAGUUCCGACCCGCACGAAAGGCGUA